UUGAUCCUGGCUCAGGAUGAACGCUAGCUACAGGCUUAACACCUGCAAGUCGAGGGGCAGCGGGAUUGAAGCUUGCUUCAAUUGCCGGCGACCGGCGCACGGGUGAGUAACGCGUAUCCAACCUUCCGUACACUCAGGGAUAGCCUUUCGAAAGAAAGGUUAAUACCUGAUGGUAUGAUGAGAUUGCAUGAUAGCAUCAUUAAAGAUUUAUCGGUGUACGAUGGGGAUGCGUUCCAUUAGGUAGUAGGCGGGGUAACGGCCCACCUAGCCAACGAUGGAUAGGGGUUCUGAGAGGAAGGUCCCCCACAUUGGAACUGAGACACGGUCCAAACUCCUACGGGAGGCAGCAGUGAGGAAUAUUGGUCAAUGGACGAGAGUCUGAACCAGCCAAGUAGCGUGAAGGAUGAAGGUCCUACGGACUGUAAACUUCUUUUAUAAGGGAAUAAACCCUCCCACGUGUGGGAGCUUGUAUGUACCUUAUGAAUAAGCAUCGGCUAACUCCGUGCCAGCAGCCGCGGUAAUACGGAGGAUGCGAGCGUUAUCCGGAUUUAUUGGGUUUAAAGGGAGCGCAGACGGGUCGUUAAGUCAGCUGUGAAAGUUUGGGGCUCAACCUUAAAAUUGCAGUUGAUACUGGCGUCCUUGAGUGCGGUUGGGGUGUGCGGAAUUCGUGGUGUAGCGGUGAAAUGCUUAGGUAUCACGAAGAACUCCGAUUGCGAAGGCAGCACACUAGUCCGUAACUGACGUUCAUGCUCGAAAGUGUGGGUAUCAAACAGGAUUAGAUACCCUGGUAGUCCACACGGUAAACGAUGGAUACUCGCUGUUGGCGAUAUACUGUCAGCGGCUUAGCGAAAGCGUUAAGUAUCCCACCUGGGGAGUACGCCGGCAACGGUGCAACUCAAAUGAAUUGACGGA
This 912-nucleotide ribosomal RNA is filed under the name uncultured bacterium. Its description in RNAcentral is "bacterial SSU rRNA". It matches the Rfam family "Bacterial small subunit ribosomal RNA", at positions 13 to 917 of the family's 1533-position model. The record is from RNAcentral. RNAcentral also lists the same sequence under 1 other name.